Molecule: ribosomal RNA, 315 nt
Filed under: Triticum aestivum (bread wheat)
Lineage: Eukaryota; Viridiplantae; Streptophyta; Magnoliopsida; Poales; Poaceae
Description: partial small subunit ribosomal RNA
Source: RNAcentral
AUGAGAUAUCGGCGGCCUCCCUCGAGGAGGACCGCCGGAAGCAAUGACUAUAUUAUCCUGGAACUGCUGGGGGGGGGGGGCCGCCGGACAGUUCGUGAGGUGUCGGCCCUCUCAAAAGCCAAUAACCCCAAGCUUGUCUUUCUUUGCAAAACGAGGCAAGCUUCAGAUAAAGUUCAGAGACUCAAGUGGAGACUUGGGCUGAAAGGUUUUCAUGGCGUUGAUAGUGACAGAAGGGGAGGAGGUCUAGCUCUCUUCUGGGACGAAUCGUUGACAGUAACAAUCCUGGAAUCUUGCAAGCGCUUCAUAGAUGUCUGA